Molecule: ribosomal RNA, 990 nt
Filed under: uncultured Porphyromonas sp.
Lineage: Bacteria; Pseudomonadati; Bacteroidota; Bacteroidia; Bacteroidales; Porphyromonadaceae
Description: bacterial SSU rRNA
Rfam family: Bacterial small subunit ribosomal RNA
Source: RNAcentral
GGAUGAACGCUAGCGAUAGGCUUAACACAUGCAAGUCGAGGGGCAGCAUGAUCUUAGCUUGCUAAGGUCGAUGGCGACCGGCGCACGGGUGCGUAACGCGUAUGCAACUUGCCUUACAGAGGGGGAUAACCCGUUGAAAGACGGACUAAAACCGCAUACACUUGUAUUAUUGCAUGAUAUUACAAGGAAAUAUUUAUAGCUGUAAGAUAGGCAUGCGUCCCAUUAGCUGGUUGGUGAGGUAACGGCUCACCAAGGCGACGAUGGGUAGGGGAACUGAGAGGUUUAUCCCCCACACUGGUACUGAGACACGGACCAGACUCCUACGGGAGGCAGCAGUGAGGAAUAUUGGUCAAUGGGCGAGAGCCUGAACCAGCCAAGUCGCGUGAAGGAAGACUGUCCUAAGGAUUGUAGACUUCUUUUAUACGGGAAUAACGGGCGAUACGAGUAUUGCAUUGAAUGUACCGUAAGAAUAAGCAUCGGCUAACUCCGUGCCAGCAGCCGCGGUAAUACGGAGGAUGCGAGCGUUAUCCGGAUUUAUUGGGUUUAAAGGGUGCGUAGGUUGUUCGGUAAGUCAGCGGUGAAACCUGAGCGCUCAACGUUCAGCCUGCCGUUGAAACUGCCGGGCUUGAGUUCAGUGGCGGCAGGCGGAAUUCGUGGUGUAGCGGUGAAAUGCAUAGAUAUCACGAGGAACUCCGAUUGCGAAGGCAGCUUGCCAUACUGCGACUGACACUGAAGCACGAAGGCGUGGGUAUCAAACAGGAUUAGAUACCCUGGUAGUCCACGCAGUAAACGAUGAUUACUAGGAGUUUGCGAUAUACCGUCAAGCUUCCACAGCGAAAGCGUUAAGUAAUCCACCUGGGGAGUACGCCGGCAACGGUGAAACUCAAAGGAAUUGACGGGGGCCCGCACAAGCGGAGGAACAUGUGGUUUAAUUCGAUGAUACGCGAGGAACCUUACCCGGGAUUGAAAUGUAGAUGACGGAUGGUGAAA